AGUGAACGCUGGCGGUAGGCCUAACACAUGCAAGUCGAACGGCAGCACAGUAAGAGCUUGCUCUUACGGGUGGCGAGUGGCGGACGGGUGAGGAAUACAUCGGAAUCUACUUUUUCGUGGGGGAUAACGUAGGGAAACUUACGCUAAUACCGCAUACGACCUACGGGCGAAAGCAGGGGAUCUUCGGACCUUGCGCGAUUGAAUGAGCCGAUGUCGGAUUAGCUAGUUGGCGGGGUAAAGGCCCACCAAGGCGACGAUCCGUAGCUGGUCUGAGAGGAUGAUCAGCCACACUGGAACUGAGACACGGUCCAGACUCCUACGGGAGGCAGCAGUGGGGAAUAUUGGACAAUGGGUGCAAGCCUGAUCCAGCCAUACCGCGUGGGUGAAGAAGGCCUUCGGGUUGUAAAGCCCUUUUGUUGGGAAAGAAAAGCAGCAGGUUAAUACCCCGCUGUUCUGACGGUACCCAAAGAAUAAGCACCGGCUAACUUCGUG
RNAcentral lists this ribosomal RNA (492 nucleotides) under uncultured bacterium. RNAcentral describes it as "partial 16S ribosomal RNA". It matches the Rfam family "Bacterial small subunit ribosomal RNA", at positions 29 to 507 of the family's 1533-position model. The record is from RNAcentral.